GCAGCCACGCCGCGUGGAGGAUAGACACAUUUCGGUGCGUAAACUCCUUUUAUAUAGGAAGAUAAUGACGGUACUAUAUGAAUAAGCACCGGCUAACUCCGUGCCAGCAGCCGCGGUAAUA
This 121-nucleotide ribosomal RNA is filed under the name uncultured Campylobacterota bacterium. RNAcentral's name for it is "uncultured Epsilonproteobacteria bacterium partial 16S ribosomal RNA". It matches the Rfam family "Bacterial small subunit ribosomal RNA", at positions 388 to 525 of the family's 1533-position model. Lineage: Bacteria; Pseudomonadati; Campylobacterota. The record is from RNAcentral.